CAGUAGCCACGGUAAUACGGAGGGUGCAAGCGUUAAUCGGAAUUACUGGGCGUAAAGCGUGCGUAGGCGGUUCGUUAAGUCUGUUGUGAAAGCCCCGGGCUCAACCUGGGAAUGGCAAUGGAUACUGGCGAGCUAGAGUGUGUCAGAGGAUGGUGGAAUUCCCGGUGUAGCGGUGAAAUGCGUAGAGAUCGGGAGGAACACCGAUGGCGAAGGCAGCCCCCUGGGCCAAUACUGACGCUCAUGCACGAAAGCGUGGGGAGCAAACAGGAUUAGAUACCCCAGUAGUCCCUGUCUCUUAUAC
Molecule: ribosomal RNA, 301 nt
Filed under: uncultured bacterium
Lineage: Bacteria
Description: partial 16S ribosomal RNA
Rfam family: Bacterial small subunit ribosomal RNA
Source: RNAcentral